UGAACGGCACUUGCACAUGGG
This 21-nucleotide non-coding RNA is filed under the name Arabidopsis thaliana (thale cress). Lineage: Eukaryota; Viridiplantae; Streptophyta; Magnoliopsida; Brassicales; Brassicaceae. The record is from RNAcentral.